Molecule: non-coding RNA, 24 nt
Filed under: Arabidopsis thaliana (thale cress)
Lineage: Eukaryota; Viridiplantae; Streptophyta; Magnoliopsida; Brassicales; Brassicaceae
Source: RNAcentral
AAACGGUAUUGCAGAUGUUUGUGA